This 1358-nucleotide long non-coding RNA is filed under the name Durio zibethinus. Its description in RNAcentral is "long non-coding RNA (DZIB_LNC002396)". The record is from RNAcentral. Lineage: Eukaryota; Viridiplantae; Streptophyta; Magnoliopsida; Malvales; Malvaceae.
UUGUUAACUUAUUUUAUCCCUUUUUUAUUUUUUAAAUUUUUAUAAUAUUUUUAAUUUCUUAUGUCAUAUCAUGAUAUCUUAUGACCAUAAAAUAAGGUCGAUAAAUUAUGAUUUUAUUAUAGACAAACCCCCGUUACCCCUUUUUCUUAUAGUUCAUAUUAUUUGUAGAUAUCCAAAGAAACCCAUUUGAGUAGAGUUGCUAUUUGACUUUGGGUUGCAAUUGUUUUUGUGCUUGAAUUCCCCUUUUGUGCUUACGUGGCCUAAUUUUUACUCCUAUCCCUAUUUGAUUUUAUUUUCAUUAUUUUUUUUAAUUUUUUUAUUAUUUUUGAAUUUAAAGAUAAAACAUGAAAAAAGAAAAAUAUAAAAAAUAGAAACUUGAUUUUUCUUGUAUUUAUCUUUUCAUUUUUCAUAUACCUUCAUCUUUUAUUUAUUAUUUAAUCUUUCGAUUUUUUUUGGUAUUAUCUUUUAUUUUAUGUUGAAACAAAGAAAAUUAAAAAAAAUAAUAACGGAAUGAAAAGGGUAGUGUAAAUUCAAAAAUUAAAAAUAAAAUAAACAGGAUGAAUAAUCCAAAGUCGAUUGGUGAUAAAGCUUGCUACUCUUUUUUUAGAUAAAAUUUGAGGAAUUAAGAUCAAUUUUCAAGGAUAAUUUCGAGAGCAUAAUACUUUUGCUCGUGGAGUUCUAUCCUAACUGUGAUUGAUUGAUCCCUGUAAAUACCAGGCAAUCAUCACAAUUGACACAACAACAAUGACAGAAGAUAUAGUAAUUUAGAGAAAAGUAAUAAACACAGUAAGUGUUUUAAUUUUGGGUUGUUUUAUUUUGGGGAGAUUUGAUUUUAGAUUUGAAUUAAUCUAGUGUGAUUUUGGAAAAACAAGUGUGAUUGAAGGAUUCACGAGGGUUAAAGAGUUGUUCGAAAUGGUCAUUUUUUAUUUUUUAAAAAAUUUUUCUGGUUUGAAUGAAUUUUUUGAUGAACCUUUUUUGUGGGAUUUGAAUUUUCAGGCAUAACUUCCGAUGAGAUUUAAAUUUUUUGAUAGCUAUUUGGUUUUUCCAGUGACGAGACAUCGGAAACUGGAUUUUCUUCAUAUUUUUGGCACCUUGUUCUUCGAUUAUAGAAAAAAGGCUGAGGAAAAAUUAAAAAAAGGGGAAAAGGCAAAGCUUGGCUUUUAUAUGCUAUCUAAAUAGCGUCCUUCGAAAGCUAAGAAAAUUGGAAGACCCGCGUGGGACGCACUUCAGCUUCUCUGGGACUCGACUUAAUUGUCGGUUCCUUUUUUUCAUUUUAUUUAUUCAUUUAUCUUUAUUUUUAUUUUAUUAUUUAGUUGUAUUCUAUUUUAUUUUAUUUGUAGAUUUGGAUUGUAUUUUAG